Molecule: ribosomal RNA, 502 nt
Filed under: uncultured bacterium
Lineage: Bacteria
Description: partial 16S ribosomal RNA
Rfam family: Bacterial small subunit ribosomal RNA
Source: RNAcentral
AUUGAACGCUGGCGGCAUGCCUUACACAUGCAAGUCGAACGGCAGCACGGGUGCUUGCACCUGGUGGCGAGUGGCGAACGGGUGAGUAAAGCAUCGGAACGUACCGUGAAGUGGGGGAUAACGUAGCGAAAGUUACGCUAAUACCGCAUAUUCUGUGAGCAGGAAAGAGGGGGAUCUUCGGACCUCUUGCUUCACGAGCGGCCGAUGUCGGAUUAGCUAGUUGGUGAGGUAAAGGCUCACCAAGGCGACGAUCCGUAGCGGGUCUGAGAGGAUGAUCCGCCACACUGGGACUGAGACACGGCCCAGACUCCUACGGGAGGCAGCAGUGGGGAAUUUUGGACAAUGGGCGCAAGCCUGAUCCAGCCAUGCCGCGUGAGUGAAGAAGGCCUUCGGGUUGUAAAGCUCUUUCGGCGGGGAAGAAAUGGCGCUUGUUAAUAGCGAGCGUUGAUGACGGUACCCGCAUAAGAAGCACCGGCUAACUACGUGCCAGCCGCCGCAGUAA